GCCUAACACAUGCAAGUCGAGCGGAAACGAUGGGAGCUUGCUCCCAGGCGUCGAGCGGCGGACGGGUGAGUAAUGCAUAGGAAUCUGCCCGAUAGUGGGGGAUAACCUGGGGAAACUCAGGCUAAUACCGCAUACGUCCUACGGGAGAAAGCAGGGGCUCCGUGUUCUUCGGAAUGGGGACCUUGCGCUAUCGGAUGAGCCUAUGUCGGAUUAGCUGGUUGGUGAGGUAUGGCUCACCAAGGCGACGAUCCGUAGCUGGUCUGAGAGGAUGAUCAGCCACAUCGGGACUGAGACACGGCCCGAACUCCUACGGGAGGCAGCAGUGGGGAAUAUUGGACAAUGGGCGCAAGCCUGAUCCAGCCAUGCCGCGUGUGUGAAGAAGGCCCUCGGGUUGUAAAGCACUUUCAGUGGGGAAGAAAGCCUCGGGGUUAAUACCCUCGAGGAAGGACAUCACCCACAGAAGAAGCACCGGCUAACUCCGUGCCAGCAGCCGCGGUAAUACGGAGGGUGCGAGCGUUAAUCGGAAUUACUGGGCGUAAAGCGCGCGUAGGUGGCUUGAUAAGCCGGUUGUGAAAGCCCCGGGCUCAACCUGGGAACGGCAUCCGGAACUGUCAGGCUAGAGUGCAGGAGAGGAAGGUAGAAUUCCCGGUGUAGCGGUGAAAUGCGUAGAGAUCGGGAGGAAUACCAGUGGCGAAGGCGGCCUUCUGGACUGACACUGACACUGAGGUGCGAAAGCGUGGGUAGCAAACAGGAUUAGAUACCCUGGUAGUCCACGCCGUAAACGAUGUCGACUAGCCGUUGGGUCCUUCGCGGACUUUGUGGCGCAGUUAACGCGAUAAGUCGACCGCCUGGGGAGUACGGCCGCAAGGUUAAAACUCAAAUGAAUUGACGGGGGCCCGCACAAGCGGUGGAGCUUGUGGUUAAAUUCGAUGCAACGCGAAGAACCUUACCUACCCUUGACAUCGUGCGAACCAGGUAGAGAUACCUGGGUGCCUUCGGGAACGCACAGACAGGUGCUGCAUGGCUGUCGUCAGCUCGUGUUGUGAAAUGUUGGGUUAAGUCCCGUAACGAGCGCAACCCUUGUCCUUAUUUGCCAGCGCGUAAUGGCGGGAACUCUAAGGAGACUGCCGGUGACAAACCGGAGGAAGGUGGGGACGACGUCAAGUCAUCAUGGCCCUUACGGGUAGGGCUACACACGUGCUACAAUGGCCGGUACAAAGGGUUGCGAAGCCGCGAGGUGGAGCCGAUCCCGAAAAGCCGGUCUCAGUCCGGAUCGGAGUCUGCAACUCGACUCCGUGAAGUCGGAAUCGCUAGUAAUCGUGAAUCAGAAUGUCACGGUGAAUACGUUCCCGGGCCUUGUACACACCGCCCGUCACACCAUGGGAGUGGACUGCACCAGAAGUGGUUAGCCUAACUUCGGAGGGCGAUCACCACGGUGUGGUUCAUGACUGGGGUGAAGUCGUAACAAGGUAGCCGUAGGGGAACCUGC
Molecule: ribosomal RNA, 1489 nt
Filed under: uncultured bacterium
Lineage: Bacteria
Description: bacterial SSU rRNA
Rfam family: Bacterial small subunit ribosomal RNA
Source: RNAcentral